This 1042-nucleotide ribosomal RNA is filed under the name Zoantharia gen. n. sp. s HK-2022. Its description in RNAcentral is "partial large subunit ribosomal RNA". It matches the Rfam family "Bacterial large subunit ribosomal RNA", at positions 1422 to 2476 of the family's 2925-position model. The record is from RNAcentral. Lineage: Eukaryota; Metazoa; Cnidaria; Anthozoa; Zoantharia.
AAAAGUUGAUACACAUGUAUCUAAGAUGUUAUCCCCAAGGGUUGGCUGUUCGAGAUAGGAUCACUCCCCCCCUGGUUUCCCAUAUUAAUUAUGGGGUUAAACAGCCCCUAAGAUUGCAGCCCCAAAGGUUGCGUUAAUGGGGGGCCAUGAGUAAUAGACGCACAAGGUGCCAGGAAAGAAUUAUUCUCCUUCGGGCCACCCGUUCGGGUGGGCAAGGGGCAUCGGUAAAUCGAAGGUGAGAACCCUGAUAGGGACCAUCUUUCGGCGCCGCACUGUACUAAACUAACUAAAGUGGGGGAUAGUGAGGGGAUAAAUUUUCUUAAGGAACUCGGCAAAAUCCCAAUAGCCCACCAGGGCAUAUAUUGUAACACGGGCCUCGACUGUUUACCAAAAACAUAGCCCUCGGCCAAUAUGAAAAUAGAAGUAUGGAGGGUGAGGCCUGCCCAAUGGUUGUAUCUAAAAGCGGUUGAUAAAAGUCGGCCUCGUAAGGACAAUUGAAUGGCCGCGGUAACACUGACCGUGAUAAUGUAGCGUAAUCAAUAGCCAAUUAAUUGUUGGCCAGUAUGAAUGGCGCCACGAAGGCCCCACUGUCUUAAGGAAAUUCCCAGUGAAAUUGAAUUCGUAGUGAAGAUGCUACGUCCAAUUUGUUAGACGAAAAGACCCCGUUGAGCUUUACUGGGGCACUUACACGGCCCCGGCCUUCAAGGCCCCCGCCUUCAAGGCCGAAUUUCAAUGGGCGGCUUAGACUAUGUGGCAGCCCCCGUCGGGGCAGAUGAAACCCCACUCCCCCAUGUCAAAGGGGCUAACCCCCCUUGGGGGGGACAAUGUAAGUAGGACAGUUUGGUUGGGGCGACCGCCUUUUAGAGAGUAACGAAGGUGCGCUUAAGGUGCGUAAUUAAUGACUGAAGCCUGACUGCGAGGGGACACCCGAGCAGACACCCCAAGCCCGCCCGCCCGAGCGCGAGCGGCGGUGGGUGGGCCAUAGUGACCCGUUAAUUUAGAGUGGAUAGUUACGAUCAACGAAUAAAGUUCCACGGGGAUA